AGCUCUUUUAUUUGGAACCCUAAUGUCUGCUUCUGCAUAUUCAUCUCUGUCACUGACUUACACCUCCGCUCCCAAAAACACUUUGCUAAGACAGGUGAAGAGAUAAGCAAAGAUGUAUCUCCAGUUUUAUAUUAACGAAAAUGGUGACAAAGUACCACUAAG
Long non-coding RNA from Nicotiana attenuata, 162 nucleotides. RefSeq lists it as uncharacterized. The record is from RefSeq and is a predicted model, not a curated record. Lineage: Eukaryota; Viridiplantae; Streptophyta; Magnoliopsida; Solanales; Solanaceae. The transcript is spliced from 2 exons.